RNAcentral lists this transfer RNA (85 nucleotides) under Halobacteriales archaeon SW_7_68_16. RNAcentral describes it as "tRNA-Ser". It matches the Rfam family "tRNA". Rfam says of the family: Transfer RNA (tRNA) molecules are approximately 80 nucleotides in length. Their secondary structure includes four short double-helical elements and three loops (D, anti-codon, and T loops). The record is from RNAcentral. Lineage: Archaea; Methanobacteriati; Methanobacteriota; Halobacteria; Halobacteriales.
GCCAGGAUGGCCGAAUCUGGUAAGGCGCACGCUUGGAGAGCGUGUUCCCGUUUCGGGAUUCUGGGUUCAAAUCCCAGUCCUGGCG